UUGAUCCUGGCUCAGAAUCAACGCUGGCGGCGCGCCUAACACAUGCAAGUCGAACGAGAAAGUGGAGCAAUCCAUGAGUACAGUGGCGUACGGGUGAGUUACACGUGGGUAAUCUACCUUUUAGUGAGGAAUAACCGAGGGAAACUUUGUCUAAUACCGCAUAAGUCCGAGAGGAGAAAGUCGAAAGACGCUGAAAGAGUGGCCCGCGGCCGAUUAGCUAGUUGGUGGGGUAAGAGCCUACCAAGGCAGUGAUCGGUAGCCGGCCUGAGAGGGCACACGGCCACACUGGCACUGAAACAUGGGCCAGACUCCUACGGGAGGCAGCAGUGGGGAAUCUUGCACAAUGGGGUAAACCCUGAUGCAGCGACGCCGCGUGAGCGAUGAAGCCCUUCGGGGUGUUAAGCUCUUUCGUCAGGGAAGAUAGUGACGGUACCUGGAGAAGCAGCUGCUGCUAACUACGUGCCAGCAGCCGCGGUAAUU
Molecule: ribosomal RNA, 480 nt
Filed under: uncultured Acidobacteriota bacterium
Lineage: Bacteria; Pseudomonadati; Acidobacteriota
Description: bacterial SSU rRNA
Rfam family: Bacterial small subunit ribosomal RNA
Source: RNAcentral